Molecule: long non-coding RNA, 239 nt
Organism: Mangifera indica (mango)
Lineage: Eukaryota; Viridiplantae; Streptophyta; Magnoliopsida; Sapindales; Anacardiaceae
Exons: 2
Source: RefSeq, a predicted model, not a curated record
AAGUCUUUUGUGUUAGCUUUCCUCUGAUAUCAAUAAAAAUUCUCUUAAAGUUUUCUCAUCUAAAUUUUGCGAAGACUUUGGAUUAACAAGUAGUUUGUCUAGUUUGUUCAAUAAGGGUGAGCAUUGAUAACAUGCUGAAGCAUUCCACUUGUUUAGUCUUUGGAAAUAGCUUUGUAAAAGUAUUUUUGCUGAUGUUGUAAUAUUAAUGAUUUGCUGGAACCAAGUUGUUUACUUGUCUU